Long non-coding RNA from Helianthus annuus (common sunflower), 506 nucleotides. RefSeq lists it as uncharacterized. The record is from RefSeq and is a predicted model, not a curated record. Lineage: Eukaryota; Viridiplantae; Streptophyta; Magnoliopsida; Asterales; Asteraceae. The transcript is spliced from 2 exons.
UCCUUCCAUGUGAUUUUGGUCUUCGUGUUCAACAGACAUGCAUUCUUGCUAUCCAUUCCGGCUCCUAUUUUAACUACGACGAUUUUAAUCUUCUUUUUUAACCAAUGCCGACUUCAAAUGACUAUUGUGUCUUCUUGAUUGCGUGUACACGUUUCAGUAGGCUUAAAUAUGUUGCUAACUUUGUUUCUUACUAUGGUUGAUAAUGUUAGCUGGACGAUUUGAUUCUGGGAUUUCAGGACUAAGAGGGUUGAAGAAUGGCAGUUGAUUACUUGCAACCUUCCAUAAGGCCAUGAUGGUAUCUUUUUUUAUAUUAUGAGCCUGUAAGAAGUAGAUCUUACACAAAUGUGUGAGGUACAAUCCACAGAAUCACAAGUAUUUUGCAAAUUAGCUAGUAUUUCCAUGAGAAAAUAAUAGGCUAUGUUGAGAAUAAUAAUCAGGUCGUACGGGAUUUGUCAUACGUUGGUUUUCCUUAAAGGUUAUGAUGAGUCAAUGUAUCUAACUGAAAA